Molecule: transfer RNA, 70 nt
Filed under: Arcuatula senhousia (Asian date mussel)
Lineage: Eukaryota; Metazoa; Mollusca; Bivalvia; Mytilida; Mytilidae
Description: tRNA-Ser
Source: RNAcentral
AAGCGCUCACUACAAUUUAGUAGAACUUUUGCUUGGAAGGCAAACAUAAUAAUUUUACUAUAAACGCUUA